RNAcentral lists this ribosomal RNA (253 nucleotides) under uncultured bacterium. RNAcentral's name for it is "partial 16S ribosomal RNA". It matches the Rfam family "Bacterial small subunit ribosomal RNA", at positions 524 to 776 of the family's 1533-position model. The record is from RNAcentral.
UACGAAGGGUGCAAGCGUUAAUCGGAAUUACUGGGUGUAAAGCGCGCGUAGGUGGUUCAGUAAGUUGGAAGUGAAAUCCCCGGGCUCAACCUGGGAACUGCUUUCAAAACUGCUGAGCUAGAGUACGGUAGAGGGUGGUGGAAUUUCCUGUGUAGCGGUGAAAUGCGUAGAUAUAGGAAGGAACACCAGUGGCGAAGGCGACCACCUGGACUGAUACUGACACUGAGGUGCGAAAGCGUGGGGAGCAAACAGG